CAGCAGCCGCGGUAUUACGGAGGGUGCAAGCGUUAAUCGGAAUUACUGGGCGUAAAGCGCACGCAGGCGGUCUGACAAGUCAGAUGUGAAAUCCCCGGGCUUAACCUGGGAACUGCAUUUGAAACUGUCAGGCUGGAGUCUUGUAGAGGGGGGUGGAAUUCCAGGUGUAGCGGUGAAAUGCGUAGAGAUCUGGAGGAAUACCGGUGGCGAAGGCGGCCCCCUGGACAAAGACUGACGCUCAGGUGCGAAAGCGUGGGGAGCAAACAGGAUUAGAUACCCCGGUAGUCCCUGUCUCUUAUAC
This 301-nucleotide ribosomal RNA is filed under the name uncultured bacterium. RNAcentral's name for it is "partial 16S ribosomal RNA". It matches the Rfam family "Bacterial small subunit ribosomal RNA", at positions 509 to 807 of the family's 1533-position model. The record is from RNAcentral.